This 190-nucleotide ribosomal RNA is filed under the name uncultured Chryseobacterium sp. RNAcentral's name for it is "partial 16S ribosomal RNA". It matches the Rfam family "Bacterial small subunit ribosomal RNA", at positions 337 to 525 of the family's 1533-position model. Lineage: Bacteria; Pseudomonadati; Bacteroidota; Flavobacteriia; Flavobacteriales; Weeksellaceae. The record is from RNAcentral.
UCCUACGGAGGCAGCAGUGAGGAAUAUUGGACAAUGGGUUAGCGCCUGAUCCAGCCAUCCCGCGUGAAGGACGACGGCCCUAUGGGUUGUAAACUUCUUUUGUACAGGGAUAAACCUACCCUCGUGAGGGUAGCUGAAGGUACUGUACGAAUAAGCACCGGCUAACUCCGUGCCAGCAGCCGCGGUAAUA